CCAUUAGAUGUUCUGGGCCGCACGCGCGCUACACUGAUGCAUUCAACGAGUCUAAAACCUGCUCUGAUAGGGGUGGGUAAUCUUUUGAAUGUGCAUCGUGAUUGGGAUAGAUGAUUGCAAUUUUUCAUCUUCAACGAGGAAUGCCUAGUAAACGCAAGUCAUCAGCUUGCAUUGAUUACGUCCCUGCCCUUUGUACACACCGCCCGUCGCUCCUACCGAUUGAAUGAUCCGAUGAAUAUCAUGGAUUGAGGAUGCAAGUAGGUUCGCCUAUCUUCAUCUUCGAGAAGUGAAGUAAAUCUUAUCAUUUAGAGGAAGGAGAAGUCGUAACA
This 329-nucleotide ribosomal RNA is filed under the name uncultured eukaryote. Its description in RNAcentral is "partial 18S ribosomal RNA". It matches the Rfam family "Eukaryotic small subunit ribosomal RNA", at positions 1470 to 1796 of the family's 1831-position model. The record is from RNAcentral.